ACACGACUACAUUAGAUACCCCUGUAGUCCUAGCCGUAAACGAUACUCGCUAGGUGUCGGCCACGGUGCGACCGUUGUCGGUGCCGUAGGGAAGCCGUGAAGCGAGCCACCUGGGAAGUACGGCCGCAAGGCUGAAACUUAAAGGAAUUGGCGGGGGAGCACCACAACGGGUGGAGCUUGCGGUUUAAUUGGAUUCAACGCCGGAAAUCUUACCGGGACCGACAGCAACAUGAAGGCCAGGCUGAAGACUUUGCCGGAUUAGCCG
This 265-nucleotide ribosomal RNA is filed under the name uncultured archaeon. Its description in RNAcentral is "partial 16S ribosomal RNA". It matches the Rfam family "Archaeal small subunit ribosomal RNA", at positions 717 to 982 of the family's 1478-position model. The record is from RNAcentral.